This 394-nucleotide long non-coding RNA is filed under the name Setaria italica (foxtail millet). Its description in RNAcentral is "long non-coding RNA (SITA_LNC006667)". The record is from RNAcentral. Lineage: Eukaryota; Viridiplantae; Streptophyta; Magnoliopsida; Poales; Poaceae.
GGAGCUCGGGGCGGCGGAUCUGGACGUUGGCGGGGAUGGAGUGGAGGUGGUGGUGGUUGCGGUGGCCGUGGCCGUGGUGGAGGUGCGGGCCGAGGCGGCGGACGCGGAACACGGUGACGACCGUGGCAACGUGGGGGACGCUGCGGAGGUGGUGGGCGGCGCCGUCGCCGCCGCUGGGGUUGGGGUCGGCCGGGAAGGCGACGAGGAAGGUGCGGUGUGGCCGCGCGUCGGCGGCGAGGAUGUACGCGGCGGCGACGACGAGCAGCAGGAGGAGGCGGUGGGCGGCCAUGGCGGGCAGGCGGCGGCGGAGUGCCUGAUUUGCGUCUGGGGAAGGGAAGAAGGUGGGCUCGGAGAAAAUGGAGCUCGCAGUCGACUCUGCAAGUCUGCAGCCGGG